GACACCAGGCAGGGAACAGGAAAGAAGUUACAGUGUCUGUCAUCACCACUAAGAAAACAGCUGAAACUCCACAUGGGACAAGAACAGCGUUCAAUAGGUGGUCCUGGGCUGCAUAGGAAAGCAGGCUGAGCAAGACAUAGAGAGGAAGACAACAAGUACCACUCCAUGGCCUACUUCAGUUCCUGCUUUGAAUUACUGCCUUGACUUCUCAAGAUAAUGGACUACAAAUGGAUAUGGGAGGCUUGAGCAAAUACUAUGAAUCUCUCAAGGAGCUAUGGAUUACCUUAAAAGGCUAGACAACAGAGCCACGGCACAGGAAGUCUGCCCUGGAUGCUAUCCUGCUGGGAAUUGGCCCUCUGAAACAGAUCCAUCCACCCGAUGAGUCAUGACAUUAAAAAUGAUGAAGGAAAUGGACUGGUCCCCAGACAAACAGCUCGGGGCAAUACGAUUCCUGCAUCCAAAGGACUAUGGGUUACAGACACCUCUCUCUUCUGGGAUACAACGUGUAAAAGCCGGAUUGAGAUCUCUAUGCCUGUUCUUCAACUGCUGUGGCUACCACUAUUCCAAGAGACAGAAUAAGAAAGUUAAAGACAACAAGAAAUGGGUCUGUAAGGCCCGAAGUGAGUGGUGUGGCAAACGACUGGACUCACUCACAUGAAUAUAAGGCUAAUCCAUUCAGGAACAGACUAAGUCUCGUCCUGACCUACUUGUCGUUUUUCUGUAAAGACCACUCGAGGUUUUAUCAACUUGAUCAACAGGGUGGUGAUUGAAUCGUUAAUCUACUCUAGCAGCAAUGUCUGAAAAGAGACCGAGCACUGUUAUUUUGAGUGCCAGAGAUAUUGCCCAGUGAGGGGCUGGAAGACCCUUAGAAUUUUUAUACAAUUCUUAGAAGGAAGAGGGAAGUGAGGGCAGCAAGCAGAGCAGAACUCCAUCACAGCAUAAAGUCCUCGAGAUCAACCGAGACACACCCACCCAUUGUGGUAAUGCUAACAGUAAGAGAAAUGCCAAGAUUUCAGGCUGUGGACUGUGUUCCAGUGGCAAGCAGCAGAGAUCCAUGUUUAGCUUGUGUUUCCUUGUGAUUCAAGGGCCCAUGGCAUGUCUCUGGAUAAGCAGAUUGCCAUGGAUCGAGGUACUCGGCCCUGAGUGGAGAGAGUGAGGGAAUGAAGAACAGACAAACAGACAAACAGGCAGGCACAAGGAAAGCUGGGAUCAGGUAAUCUGAGCGUGGAAGGAAGGAGACGCACAGCCACGGGAGCUCAGCGUGUAUAUUAUCCAGAGGUGAAAAGGAGAGAGAAGCUUGUUAAAAGACAGGAUGCUGAAAGAGGAGAUGAAACAUUUCAACCUGAAGGGAAGUGCUUUAAGAUGCAGGAUGUAAAACAAUGAAAUGCUGGAAGAAGAGCUCAAACACUCCAUUCUUUAAAAAGGCUUCUUAAACUCAGGAAAUAAACAACUGAAUAACUUCAGAAAGUCCCUGAAACUGGCAAGAUUCUCUGCUGCCAUCCUUCUCCAAGCAUUUAUAAUCGUUGUGUAAUCUGAGAGCUAAGGCUCUAGCUGCAUUCAUCCCAAUAUGAAUAUACAAAUUUCUAUGUGUCAUUUGUUAAAGGGGCUGUCCUUUCUGCAAUGUGUAUUUUUGGCAAUUUUCUUUGAAGUAAAAUGACUUUAGCUUAUUGGGCU
Molecule: long non-coding RNA, 1674 nt
Filed under: Mus musculus (house mouse)
Lineage: Eukaryota; Metazoa; Chordata; Mammalia; Rodentia; Muridae
Description: RIKEN cDNA 1500015L24 gene
Source: RNAcentral